CCUACGGGAGGCAGCAGUGGGGAAUAUUGGACAAUGGGCGCAAGCCUGAUCCAGCAAUGCCGCGUGAGUGAUGAAGGCCUUAGGGUCGUAAAGCUCUUUUACCAGGGAUGAUAAUGACAGUACCUGGAGAAUAAGCUCCGGCUAACUCCGUGCCAGCAGCCGCGGUAAUACGGAGGGAGCUAGCGUUGUUCGGAAUUACUGGGCGUAAAGCGUACGUAGGCGGUUAUUCAAGUCAGAGGUGAAAGCCCGGGGCUCAACCCCGGAACGGCCUUUGAAACUAGGUAGCUAGAAUCUUGGAGAGGUCAGUGGAAUUCCGAGUGUAGAGGUGAAAUUCGUAGAUAUUCGGAAGAACACCAGUGGCGAAGGCGACUGACUGGACAAGUAUUGACGCUGAGGUACGAAAGCGUGGGGAGCAAACAGGAUUAGAUACCCUGGUAGUCCACGCCGUAAACGAUGAUAACUAGCUGUUCGGGCACUUGGUGCUUGAGUGGCGCAGCUACGCAUUAAGUUAUCCGUCCGUCGGGGUAGGUACGGGUCGGCGAAGAAGUUAAAACGUUUAAAAGGUAAAGUUAGACGGUCGUGUAGAGUUGUCCGAACGGACGACGACGAGGGGAGGUAGG
RNAcentral lists this ribosomal RNA (620 nucleotides) under uncultured bacterium. RNAcentral describes it as "bacterial SSU rRNA". The stretch from base 1 to 517 matches the Rfam family "Bacterial small subunit ribosomal RNA", at positions 338 to 873 of the family's 1533-position model. The record is from RNAcentral.